Molecule: ribosomal RNA, 717 nt
Filed under: uncultured Chloroflexota bacterium
Lineage: Bacteria; Bacillati; Chloroflexota
Description: bacterial SSU rRNA
Rfam family: Bacterial small subunit ribosomal RNA
Source: RNAcentral
GUCGAACGAAGAGCUCGGUGUAGCAAUACACUGAAACUCUUAGUGGCGAACGGGUGAGUAACGCGUUGGUGACCUGCCCCAAAGAGAGGGAUAACAGUUCGAAAGGAUUGCUAAUACCUCAUGUGAUCGUCUGGAUUAGAUGCCUAAUGAUCAAAGGAGCUUGCUCCGCUUUGGGAGGGGCCUGCGUACCAUCAGCUAGUUGGUAGGGUAAUGGCCUACCAAGGCUAUGACGGUUAGGGGACCUGAGAGGGUGGCCCCCCACAAUGGAACUGAAACACGGUCCAUACACCUACGGGUGGCAGCAGUAGGGAAUAUUGGUAAUGUGCGAAAGCGCGAACCAGCAACGCCGCGUGUGCGAAGAAGGCCUUCGGGUUGUAAAGCACUUUUCGGGAGGAAGAGGAAGGACUGUACUCCCGGAAUAAGUCUCGGCUAACUACGUGCCAGCAGCCGCGGUAAUACGUAGGAGGCUAACGUUAUCCGGAUUUACUGGGCGUAAAGCGCGUGUAGGCGGUUCGGUAAGUUGGACGUGAAAGCUCCCGGCUCAACUGGGAGAGGUCGUUCAAUACUGUCGGACUAGAGGAUGGUAGAGGGAGGUGGAAUUCCGGGUGUAGUGGUGAAAUGCGCAGAUAUCCGGAGGAACACCAGUGGCGAAGGCGGCCUCCUGGACCACUCCUGACGCUCAGACGCGAAAGCUAGGGUAGCGAACGGGAUUAGAGA